GAUGAACGCUGGCGGCGUGCCUAAUACAUGCAAGUCGAGCGAACGGACGAGAAGCUUGCUUCUCUGAUGUUAGCGGCGGACGGGUGAGUAACACGUGGAUAACCUACCUAUAAGACUGGGAUAACUUCGGGAAACCGGAGCUAAUACCGGAUAAUAUUUUGAACCGCAUGGUUCAAAAGUGAAAGACGGUCUUGCUGUCACUUAUAGAUGGAUCCGCGCUGCAUUAGCUAGUUGGUAAGGUAACGGCUUACCAAGGCAACGAUGCGUAGCCGACCUGAGAGGGUGAUCGGCCACACUGGAACUGAGACACGGUCCAGACUCCUACGGGAGGCAGCAGUGGGGAAUCUUCCACAAUGGGCGAAAGCCUGACGGAGCAACGCCGCGUGAGUGAUGAAGGUCUUCGGAUCGUAAAGCUCUGUUAUUGGGGAAGAACAGAUGUGUAAGUAUCUCUGCACAUCUUGACGGUACCUAAACAGAAAGCCACGGCUAACUACGUG
Molecule: ribosomal RNA, 497 nt
Filed under: uncultured bacterium
Lineage: Bacteria
Description: partial 16S ribosomal RNA
Rfam family: Bacterial small subunit ribosomal RNA
Source: RNAcentral